UACGGAGGGUGCAAGCGUUGCUCGGAAUUAUUGGGCGUAAAGGGUAGGUAGGUGGUCUCAUUUGUCUGGGGUGAAAGCCUUGAGCUUAACUCAAGAAGUGCCCCAGAAACGGUGAGACUAGAGUCUUGGAGAGGGUCGUGGAAUUCCCGGUGUAGCGGUGAAAUGCGUAGAGAUCGGGAGGAACACCAGAGGCGAAGGCGGCGACCUGGACCAAUUCUGACGCUGAGGAGCGAAAGCCAGGGGAGCAAACGGG
This 253-nucleotide ribosomal RNA is filed under the name uncultured bacterium. RNAcentral describes it as "partial 16S ribosomal RNA". It matches the Rfam family "Bacterial small subunit ribosomal RNA", at positions 524 to 776 of the family's 1533-position model. The record is from RNAcentral.